Molecule: transfer RNA, 74 nt
Filed under: Leucothrix mucor
Lineage: Bacteria; Pseudomonadati; Pseudomonadota; Gammaproteobacteria; Thiotrichales; Thiotrichaceae
Description: tRNA-Cys
Rfam family: tRNA
About the family: Transfer RNA (tRNA) molecules are approximately 80 nucleotides in length.
Source: RNAcentral
GGCUGAGUAGCAAAGAGGUUAUGCUGCGGUUUGCAAAACCGCCUAGCCCGGUUCGAUUCCGGGCUCAGCCUCCA